Molecule: ribosomal RNA, 862 nt
Filed under: Moelleriella turbinata
Lineage: Eukaryota; Fungi; Ascomycota; Sordariomycetes; Hypocreales; Clavicipitaceae
Description: eukaryotic LSU rRNA
Rfam family: Eukaryotic large subunit ribosomal RNA
Source: RNAcentral
GGAUUGCCCCAGUAACGGCGAGUGAAGCGGCAACAGCUCAGAUUUGAAAUCUGGCCCCCGUACCGCGCGGGCCCGAGUUGUAAUCGUGAGAGGAUGCUUUUGGCGAGGCGCCUUCCGAGUUCCCUGGAACGGGACGCCGCAGAGGGUGAGAGCCCCGUCGGGUCGGCCGCCUAGCCUCCACACAAAGCUCCUUCGACGAGUCGAGUAGUUUGGGAAUGCUGCUCUAAUGGGGAGGUAUAUGUCUUCCAAAGCUAAAUACCGGCCAGAGACCGAUAGCGCACAAGUAGAGUGAUCGAAAGAUGAAAAGCACUUUGAAAAGAGAGUUAAACAGUACGUGAAAUUGUUGAAAGGGAAGCGCUCAUGACCAGACUUGGGCCGGGCGGAUCAGCCGGCGGUCCUCCGCCGGCGCACUCCGCCGGGUCCAGGCCAGCAUCAGUUCGCGCCGGGGGACAAAGGCGGCGGGAACGUGGCUCCCCCAGGGGAGUGUUAUAGCCCGCCGCGCAAUGCCCCGGGGCGGACUGAGGCCCCGCGCGUCUCGACGCAAGGAUGCUGGCGUAAUGGUCAUCAGUGACCCGUCUUGAAACACGGACCAAGGAGUCGUCCUCGUGUGCGAGUGUUCGGGUGUCAAACCCCUACGCGCAAUGAAAGUGAACGCUGGUGAGAGCCUCGGCGCAUCACCGACCGAUCCUGAUGUCCUCGGAUGGAUUUGAGUAGGAGCACACGGGGCCGGACCCGAAAGAAGGUGAACUAUGCCUGUAUAGGGUGAAGCCAGAGGAAACUCUGGUGGAGGCUCGCAGCGGUUCUGACGUGCAAAUCGAUCGUCAAAUAUGGGCAUGGGGGCGAAAGACUAAUCGAACCUUCU